UACAGAGGGUGCGAGCGUUAAUCGGAGUUACUGGGCGUAAAGGGCGCGUAGGCGGUGAUAUGUGAGUGAUGUGAAAGCCCUGGGCUUAACCUAGGAAGUGCAUCGCUAACUAUAUUACUGGAGUAUAAGAGAGGGUGGCGGAAUUUCCGGUGUAGCGGUGAAAUGCGUAGAGAUCGGAAGGAACGUCGAUGGCGAAGGCAGCCACCUGGCUUAAUACUGACGCUGAGGCGCGAGAGCGUGGGUAGCGAACAGG
This 253-nucleotide ribosomal RNA is filed under the name uncultured bacterium. Its description in RNAcentral is "partial 16S ribosomal RNA". It matches the Rfam family "Bacterial small subunit ribosomal RNA", at positions 524 to 776 of the family's 1533-position model. The record is from RNAcentral.